GCGCGUGUAGCUCAGCUGGAUAGAGUACCUGGCUACGAACCAGGCGGU
This 48-nucleotide transfer RNA is filed under the name Enterovibrio norvegicus. RNAcentral describes it as "tRNA-Arg". The record is from RNAcentral. Lineage: Bacteria; Pseudomonadati; Pseudomonadota; Gammaproteobacteria; Vibrionales; Vibrionaceae.